UUUCGGAUAACAUUGUUUAAUUAACUUCUUAAAAACUGGUCAUGCAUGGUUUAUAUGUAGUCACAUUUUUUUUUUCCUUGUAUUUAUUCAAUCUCAUAUCCAAAUUUUAUGAUCUUUCAAGGCCAUUAUGGUCAUAGAGAUAAAUCUGGAUCAUCAAAAUAUUCUCUUUUUUAAGAGCUUGAAUAUAUUGUUUAUGUUUUCUGGGGGAGUCAACCUGGAAUGCAUCCUCACGAUUUUUCUCAAGAAAUUGGGUUAAAGACUUCAAUGCUUCUUCCUGAAAAAGAACUAAAACGUUAGCUGUUAGUAUAUAUUUUCCAUGGUUCAAAGUUUUAAAGUUGAUGAACACUAACGUUUUCUAUAGCAAAGUGGAAAAAAGAAAAGGUUAAUUAAAAUGAAGUUACAAACCCUGGCAAGGGCGAGUUCAUCAGAAUUCAGGGAGAAGCCAGAAGGCUUAAUGGACCCAAUUCUCUCUAGCUUUGGUGGAGCAGGGAGAGGUGGUUUUUGGUUUUCCAUUUUCUGGAAACCCAAAAGGAAAAAAGAGGAAAAUACUGAGAGAUGAAACUGCUUCUUUAUAGAAAGCUUCUGGUGUUUG
This 592-nucleotide long non-coding RNA is filed under the name Nicotiana tabacum (common tobacco). RNAcentral's name for it is "long non-coding RNA (NTAB_LNC018874)". The record is from RNAcentral. Lineage: Eukaryota; Viridiplantae; Streptophyta; Magnoliopsida; Solanales; Solanaceae.